AGAUGGUAAUGCUAAUACCAUUGAAUGGUGCUGCGCCCAGGACAGAUCCUUUGAAAUGAUAACACCAAGGAAUUUAAUGUUGUUGACCUUCUCCACCUCUGAUCCACGAUGAGGAUCUGGUUCAAUGACCUCCUGCUUCCUCCUCCUGAUUCGUCACUACAUUUGACUCAGCCUAUGAGAGUGGUGUCGUCAACAAACUUAAAUAUUCACACUCGCAAUAUCAGCUAUCAGAACACUUCCAUCAAAAUAUAGUGUUACGUACCCCGUAACUGGGUUGCCAAACCAGCAGAAAUGGAUCACUCAGUUGGAGUCUGGAGUACUAGAACUAAGAAAGUUUUAUUAAAGAAACAAGCAACACAGUAAUCGAAAGGAUAAUAAAUGCAACAGUUCAACA
Mobula hypostoma (lesser devil ray) is the source of this 394-nucleotide long non-coding RNA. RefSeq lists it as uncharacterized. Lineage: Eukaryota; Metazoa; Chordata; Chondrichthyes; Myliobatiformes; Myliobatidae. The record is from RefSeq and is a predicted model, not a curated record. The transcript is spliced from 3 exons.